Molecule: unclassified non-coding RNA, 204 nt
Organism: Carlito syrichta (Philippine tarsier)
Lineage: Eukaryota; Metazoa; Chordata; Mammalia; Primates; Tarsiidae
Source: Ensembl
UUGAGAAACCGUGGCAGGGGUAGCACAUCUCUUCAGCCACAAACUAUUUCUUCCCCAGGGCAGUAUUUCCCAAUUAUGCCAUCCUGUCAUCAUCACCUCCUUCUUGUCUGAACUCAUCAACAUUUCAGCCAAAUUACUGUGCUGCUAAGUCACUGGGAAAAUCAGGACCCCACACCAAGACGAUCAUCUUAGAAAUGCACAAAC